This 363-nucleotide long non-coding RNA is filed under the name Salvia miltiorrhiza (redroot sage). RNAcentral's name for it is "long non-coding RNA (SMIL_LNC003573)". Lineage: Eukaryota; Viridiplantae; Streptophyta; Magnoliopsida; Lamiales; Lamiaceae. The record is from RNAcentral.
AGGAAGAUUACAAGAAUUAAACACACAACUGAAAUUAAAUAUAUCAAAGUACAAUACGUGAAAUUUAAAAAUACAAUUAGAAAAUACAAAUUACAUAUUUAAUUGUCAGUGCCAAAUUUUUCCCAUAUGUGCUCAAUCAAAUCACCUUGAAGAGUCCUAUGAGCUUCUCUAUUGCGAAGUUGAUCUCUAUUAGUCAUAUAAGUAGACAAGCUCACAAUACGUUCAGUAGAAUAGCGAAAAUGUUCGUCAUCUUCUGUUUGUACUCUUGUAGGUGUAUCCAUAAAAAAUUCUGUUGGAUCAUAAUAAUUUUGGUAGGUGUCUCGUUCGUCCUCGACUAUCAUAUUAUGCAUGAUGAUACAAGCC